GGGAGUUGUUAGUAAUUUUUAAGUUAUUGACUCUAGAGGAGCCUAAAAUACAAGUCGUGCGAGAAAGCACGAGCAAACUUGUUAAUAAAGUGACGACCGGGGGAGUAACACGUGAUUAACCUACCUUCCAGUGGGGGAUAACCUCGCCAAACCGGGGAUAAUACCGUAUAAUGCCUUCCGGUUAAAGGAGCAAUUAUCUUGACGAGGGAGUCGCGACUGAUUAGCUAGUUGGCGGGGUAACGGCCCACCCAGGCGAUCAUCGGUAGCCGGCCUGAAUUGGCGCACGGACACACUGGACCUGAAACACGGACCACACUCCUACUUGAGGCACCAACGGGGAUUUGUACUAAAUGCGGGAAACCCUGACGCAUCAGCACCUCGUGGAGGAUGAAGGCGAUGGGGGCUGAAACUCCUUUCGACCGUUACGAUCAUAACUGACCAGGUGAGAGGAGGGCCGGCUAGCUGCAUGCCAGAUGUCGCCAAUUACGAAUGGUGCCAGCGUUGUUCCUUUUAUUGGGGAUAAGGUGGCGUAGGUUGAUGGUAUUUCACCUGAGAAACCUCGGGGCUUAACCGGCUCCUCCAGUCGAAGUACCUUAAUUCGAUUUUGUGACAGGUGACCCCAAAUCCCCCCGUGUGCCUUGGUAAGGCUUUAACUCGGGGAGGAACGCGUACUGUAAAAACCCUGGCCCAUUGUACCACAAAUGAAUAUAACGCGGGAAAACCUAGGGGUAACAAAGUGGAAUAGACACCCCUGGUA
Molecule: ribosomal RNA, 757 nt
Filed under: uncultured soil bacterium
Lineage: Bacteria
Description: SSU rRNA
Rfam family: Bacterial small subunit ribosomal RNA
Source: RNAcentral